RNAcentral lists this ribosomal RNA (175 nucleotides) under Barleria ovata. RNAcentral describes it as "5.8S ribosomal RNA". The stretch from base 1 to 79 matches the Rfam family "5.8S ribosomal RNA", at positions 78 to 154 of the family's 154-position model. The record is from RNAcentral. Lineage: Eukaryota; Viridiplantae; Streptophyta; Magnoliopsida; Lamiales; Acanthaceae.
AAUCCCGUGAACCAUCGAGUCUUUGAACGCAAGUUGCGCCCGAAGCCUUCGGGCCGAGGGCACGCCUGCCUGGGCGUCACGCAUCGCGUCGCCCCCCUCCCCCGCCCCCCCGGGGCGCGGGCGGAGGGGCCGAGCGGAGAAUGGCCUCCCGUGCGCCCCGGCGCGCGGCCGGCCC